AUGGGGUCACGCGUCCGGACGCCUGGGAUCCCUGUGCUCUGCUGGAAACACCCCGCAGGCUGCAGCAACUCGUGCAGCAGGCUUCAGAUUUGGAGGCAAGUCUCCGUGUUUCUUCUAUUUGUUACCACUUUGUGUUACAGAGCCUGGGAGCCCAAGGCGCAGUCUCGCCCCGACACGUGGGUGUGCGUAGCAGAAUCUGAGCAAGUCCCUCCAGCAGCAGGGAAAGGCAGAAUUAAGGUGCCUUGCCAACGAGGUGCUCCAAAGCCAUGCUCCUGCAUCCCAUGUGCACCUUUGGGCAGCUCUGCGUUUCCUCCAGUUAGGAGAUGCUUUGCACAUCCAUGCAUUAAGAAAGCAGAGAAUUGCAUUGCUGGAGUUAGAUUUCUUCCUCUCUCUUCUGUUGAAGAAGAAAUGAAUCCUCUGACAACAGACCAUAGAAGGGAAGAGAUGGAGGCAGAUCCCAAUGACCUGCUUGCCAUUCAACACCUUGCUCUGGCUCCUUGCCUUACAGAGGCACUCAGUGCUGGAUUCCUCCUUUCCUGGAUUCCCAGGGCAUAAUUACUCCAUUCCUUUGAUGACAAUAACCUGAACUUUGAAACAUGGGAAAAUGAAUCAGACAGGAGAUGGAUGAAGUCAUUUUCUAGAAGCUGCUCAGACUGUAUUCCCAUCCAAAACAACCGCUGUUGAUGGUCUUGGUGACCACAACCACCAUCUUACACUAAUUACUCUCAAUUUGCUCCUACAUCAUGGACAGAAAUGUCUAAGUGAGAAAAGGGCCACAUCCAAAGGGGCAGGAUCUGGGGAGUUAACUAUCACUCUACUUACUCCCCUGUGACAUCCCACUGGUCUGGGUGGUUGGAGUCACCUCCAUGGGUGGCAUUUUUCCAUAACUCGGGGAGCUGGGAUGUAGAUUUUUGACAGUGGAUGUUCUAGUUUCAAUAUCCACGAAUGAGAUGAGAUUUUUUCCUGUGUAUGAGGUCUUUGGAUUAAUUGUGCUGAGACAUUUGGGCUCCAGUCCUUCCUGGAAUAAUCAUGGAAUCAUUAAGGUUGGAAAAGACCCCUAAGAUCACCCAUCCAACCCCUGCUCACUCCCACCAUGCCCACUGACCACAUCCCUCAGUGCCAGAUCCCCAUGGUUCUGGAACACCUCCAGGGUUGGUGACCCCACCACUCCCUGGGCAGCCUGUGCCAAUGCACCAUCACUCUUUGGGAGAAGAAAUUUUUCCUUAUAUCCAGUCUGAACCUCCUCUGGAUUAUUAUUUCUUGUGGGACAACAGGCAAUAAGACUGUAUACACCAGAUUCUUUUUUUUAUAAUACAAUAGGAAUAAAGUCCUUCUCCGUGCUUAACCUCUCCA
RNAcentral lists this long non-coding RNA (1353 nucleotides) under Numida meleagris (helmeted guineafowl). Its description in RNAcentral is "lncRNA (ENSNMEG00000003645.1)". The record is from RNAcentral. Lineage: Eukaryota; Metazoa; Chordata; Aves; Galliformes; Numididae.